RNAcentral lists this ribosomal RNA (253 nucleotides) under uncultured bacterium. RNAcentral's name for it is "partial 16S ribosomal RNA". It matches the Rfam family "Bacterial small subunit ribosomal RNA", at positions 524 to 776 of the family's 1533-position model. The record is from RNAcentral.
UACGAAGGUCCCAAGCGUUAUCCGGAUUUAUUGGGGUUAAAGGGUGCGUAGGCGGGUUAUUAAGUCAGUGGUGAAAGCCUUCAGCUCAACUGAAGAACUGCCAUUGAUACUGAUGAUCUUGAGUACGAUUGAGGUAGGCGGAAUGUGUCAUGUAGCGGUGAAAUGCUUAGAUAUGACACAGAACACCGAUUGCGAAGGCAGCUUACUAAGUCGUAACUGACGCUGAUGCACGAAAGCGUGGGGAGCAAACAGG